UAUAUCACUGGGUGCAUGAUGAUUGUGAUAGAGAGAUCACCACAUCACGCUGCCAUUACAUGUGACAUCUCUUCUAUAUCUCUCUCUAAUGCAGUCAUCAUACUCUCAGUUGAUAUG
Non-coding RNA from Bombyx mori (domestic silkworm), 117 nucleotides. NCBI's taxonomy places the organism in Eukaryota, Metazoa, Arthropoda, Insecta, Lepidoptera, Bombycidae. The record is from RefSeq and is marked provisional.